UACGGAGGGGACUAGCGUUGUUCGGAAUUACUGGGCGUAAAGCGCACGUAGGCGGAUUUGUAAGUCAGGGGUGAAAUCCCGGGGCUCAACCUCGGAACUGCCUUUGAUACUGCAAAUCUCGAGUCCGGAAGAGGUGAGUGGAAUUCCUAGUGUAGAGGUGAAAUUCGUAGAUAUUAGGAAGAACCCCAGUGGCGAAGGCGGCUCACUGGUCCGGUACUGACGCUGAGGUGCGAAAGCGUGGGGAGCAAACAGG
Molecule: ribosomal RNA, 253 nt
Filed under: uncultured bacterium
Lineage: Bacteria
Description: partial 16S ribosomal RNA
Rfam family: Bacterial small subunit ribosomal RNA
Source: RNAcentral